UGGACACAAUAUCUUUAUUUAUUUACUUAGUUUUUUGUGGUGCUGAGGAUCAAACCCAGUGCUUCACACAUGCCAGGUGAGCUCUCUAUCUCUGAGCUACAACCUCAGCCCCAGAAAUAGUCUUUUUGCUUGCUAUGUUUUAUCAGGCUUGGCUGUUUGAUAAUAAUUGAAGUUUCUCUCCAAACAUUUUGGAAAAAUCAUAAAAUUUUAAAACAAAACUCACCAAUAUCUUUGCCAAAGAAAACGCUAUUAACAUUUUACAGACUUCUCUCCAUACUUUUAUCUGUACAUAUAUGAAGACUUAAAAUAUGCAGCUUAAAGGGUCAGCACUGGGGAUUGAACCAAGGAACAUUUCAUCUUUGAGCUACAUAUCCAGCUGUAUUAAAAAUUUUGAGACGGUGUGUUAGCCAGCUUUUCAUCAUUGUUUCCAAAAUGCCUGACAGGAACAACUUAGAGGAGGAAGAGUAGAUAUUGUUUCACUGUUUCAGAGGUUCAGUUCAUGGUCAGCUGACACCGUUACUCUGAGCCUAAGGGAAGCACAACAUUGUGGGAUGUGGUGGUAGAGGGAAGCUAUUCAGAGGCCUGGAAGCAGAGAGCACAGAAGCUGGGGACAAGAUAUAUAAUCCCCAAUGGCACACUUCCAGUGACCUGCCUACAGCCACAUCCUACCUAUAUAUAACUAUAAUUAUCUCCUAGUACAGUAGUCCUUUCAAAUUAUUAAUCCAUAAAAUGGAUUAAUCUGAUUAGAGUACAGAUCUUAUAAUCUAAUCAUGAAUUUUUGGGGAACACCUCAUAAUCAAACCAUAACAGAUAGGGUUUUGCUAAAUUGCCCAGGCUGGCCUCAAACUUGUCAUCCUCUUGCCCAGCUUCUGGAGUAGCUGAGAUUACAGAUGUGUCACUAUGCCCAGCUUCAAUAAAAUAUUUUUAAAUUGUAAACUUAAACUGUUUAAACAAGGCUGUGGAAAGGAGUCAAAAGUGUAAGGGUUGGUAAAAGAAAAAAAAUAUUUUGUAGUGCUUUAUUCCUCCUAUAGACACUUAAGAGAAUGUCAAGUGGGACUGACAAGAUAGAAUAGCAUUGCCAAAAUUGUGAGGCCACACUCUCGGUAGAGCAGUGGCAAUUGUGCAAAUUGGGCACAGUUGCCUUCAAGCAACAUUGUUGUCUGUGGUCAGAUUUUCUGUAUGGUUGACAGAGGGCUAGUAGUGUCUUAGGUCAGACAUAGGGUAGACCAUAGCAUGCAAGGAAUGACGCAAGGCACUAAUUUAAAAUUUGAUGUUAGAAUGGGUCUAAUGAAAUAUAGUGUGAACCAUUAUACAAUAAAAAUUUUUCCAGUAGUCAUGUUAAGAAGGUAAAAGGAACCAGGAACAACGAAUUUUAAUUAUAUAUUUAACAUCUUCAAUGUAAUUCCUACAUCUAAUCAAUAUUUUAAAAAUUAUUAGCGCUCAGUGCAGUGGCCCCAUGCCUGCAAUCCCAGUGGCUUGGGAGGCUGAGUCAG
This 1493-nucleotide long non-coding RNA is filed under the name Marmota monax (woodchuck). The record is from RNAcentral. Lineage: Eukaryota; Metazoa; Chordata; Mammalia; Rodentia; Sciuridae.